This 445-nucleotide ribosomal RNA is filed under the name uncultured bacterium. RNAcentral describes it as "partial 16S ribosomal RNA". It matches the Rfam family "Bacterial small subunit ribosomal RNA", at positions 354 to 796 of the family's 1533-position model. The record is from RNAcentral.
GUAAGGAAUAUUGGACAAUGGACGCAAGUCUGAUCCAGCCAUGCCGCGUGAAGGAUUAAGGUCCUCUGGAUUGUAAACUUCUUUUAUAAGGGACGAAAAAAGGCUUUUCUAAGUCGUCUGACGGUACCUUAUGAAUAAGCACCGGCUAACUCCGUGCCAGCAGCCGCGGUACUACGGAGGGUGCAAGCGUUAUCCGGAUCCACUGGGUUUAAAGGGUGCGUAGGCGGGCAGGUAAGUCAGUGGUGAAAUCCUAGAGCUUAACUCUAGAACUGACAUUGGUACUAUCUGUCUUGAAUAUGGUGGAGGUAAGCGGAAUAUGUCAUGUAGCGGUGAAAUGCUUAGAUAUGACAUAGAACACCUAUUGCGAAGGCAGCUUACUACGCAUAUAUUGACGCUGAGGCACGAAAGCGUGGGGAUCAAACAGGAUUAGAAACCCGAGUAGUCC